This 91-nucleotide transfer RNA is filed under the name Methylicorpusculum oleiharenae. RNAcentral describes it as "tRNA-Ser". It matches the Rfam family "tRNA". Rfam says of the family: Transfer RNA (tRNA) molecules are approximately 80 nucleotides in length. RNAcentral also lists the same sequence under 2 other names. The record is from RNAcentral. Lineage: Bacteria; Pseudomonadati; Pseudomonadota; Gammaproteobacteria; Methylococcales; Methylococcaceae.
GGAGAGAUGGCUGAGUGGUUUAAGGCAGCGGUCUUGAAAACCGUCGUGGGUUAAUAGCCCACCCAGAGUUCGAAUCUCUGUCUCUCCGCCA